Molecule: ribosomal RNA, 469 nt
Filed under: uncultured bacterium
Lineage: Bacteria
Description: bacterial SSU rRNA
Rfam family: Bacterial small subunit ribosomal RNA
Source: RNAcentral
UACGGGGAGGCAGCAGUGGGGGAAGUAUUGGACAAUGGGGGGAACCCGUGAUCCAGCCAUGCCGCGUGUGUGAAGAAGGCCUUAUGGUUGUUAAAGCACUUUAAGCGAGGAGGAGGCUACUGAGACUAAUACUCUUGGAUAGUGGACGUUACUCGCAGAUAAGCACCGGCUAACUCUGUGCCAGCAGCCGCGGUAAUACAGAGGGUGCGAGCGUUAAUCGGAUUUACUUGGGCGUAAAGACGUGCGUAGGCGGCGUUUUAAGUUCGGAUGUGAAAUCCCCGAGCUUAACUUGGGAAUUGCAUUCGAUACUGGGAAGCUAGAGUAUGGGAGAGGAUGGUAGAAUUCCAGGUGUAGCGGUGAAAUGCGUAGAGAUCUGGAGGAAUACCGAUGGCGAAGGCAGCCAUCUGGCCUAAUACUGACGCUGAGGUACGAAAGCAUGGGGAGCAAACAGGAUUAGAUACCCUGGUAG